UUAAGCGACUAAGCGUACACGGUGGAUGCCCUGGCAGUCAGAGGCGAUGAAGGACGUGCUAAUCUGCGAUAAGCGUCGGUAAGGUGAUAUGAACCGUUAUAACCGGCGAUUUCCGAAUGGGGAAACCCAGUGUGAUUCGUCACACUAUCAUUAACUGAAUCCAUAGGUUAAUGAGGCGAACCGGGGGAACUGAAACAUCUAAGUACCCCGAGGAAAAGAAAUCAACCGAGAUUCCCCCAGUAGCGGCGAGCGAACGGGGAGCAGCCCAGAGCCUGAAUCAGUGUGUGUGUUAGUGGAAGCGUCUGGAAAGGCGUGCGAUACAGGGUGACAGCCCCGUACACAAAAAUGCACAUAUUGUGAGCUCGAUGAGUAGGGCGGGACACGUGGUAUCCUGUCUGAAUAUGGGGGGACCAUCCUCCAAGGCUAAAUACUCCUGACUGACCGAUAGUGAACCAGUACCGUGAGGGAAAGGCGAAAAGAACCCCGGCGAGGGGAGUGAAAAAGAACCUGAAACCGUGUACGUACAAGCAGUGGGAGCACGCUUAGGCGUGUGACUGCGUACCUUUUGUAUAAUGGGUCAGCGACUUAUAUUCUGUAGCAAGGUUAACCGAAUAGGGGAGCCGAAGGGAAACCGAGUCUUAACUGGGCGUUAAGUUGCAGGGUAUAGACCCGAAACCCGGUGAUCUAGCCAUGGGCAGGUUGAAGGUUGGGUAACACUAACUGGAGGACCGAACCGACUAAUGUUGAAAAAUUAGCGGAUGACUUGUGGCUGGGGGUGAAAGGCCAAUCAAACCGGGAGAUAGCUGGUUCUCCCCGAAAGCUAUUUAGGUAGCGCCUCGUGAAUUCAUCUCCGGGGGUAGAGCACUGUUUCGGCAAGGGGGUCAUCCCGACUUACCAACCCGAUGCAAACUGCGAAUACCGGAGAAUGUUAUCACGGGAGACACACGGCGGGUGCUAACGUCCGUCGUGAAGAGGGAAACAACCCAGACCGCCAGCUAAGGUCCCAAAGUCAUGGUUAAGUGGGAAACGAUGUGGGAAGGCCCAGACAGCCAGGAUGUUGGCUUAGAAGCAGCCAUCAUUUAAAGAAAGCGUAAUAGCUCACUGGUCGAGUCGGCCUGCGCGGAAGAUGUAACGGGGCUAAACCAUGCACCGAAGCUGCGGCAGCGACGCUUAUGCGUUGUUGGGUAGGGGAGCGUUCUGUAAGCCUGCGAAGGUGUGCUGUGAGGCAUGCUGGAGGUAUCAGAAGUGCGAAUGCUGACAUAAGUAACGAUAAAGCGGGUGAAAAGCCCGCUCGCCGGAAGACCAAGGGUUCCUGUCCAACGUUAAUCGGGGCAGGGUGAGUCGACCCCUAAGGCGAGGCCGAAAGGCGUAGUCGAUGGGAAACAGGUUAAUAUUCCUGUACUUGGUGUUACUGCGAAGGGGGGACGGAGAAGGCUAUGUUGGCCGGGCGACGGUUGUCCCGGUUUAAGCGUGUAGGCUGGUUUUCCAGGCAAAUCCGGAAAAUCAAGGCUGAGGCGUGAUGACGAGGCACUACGGUGCUGAAGCAACAAAUGCCCUGCUUCCAGGAAAAGCCUCUAAGCAUCAGGUAACAUCAAAUCGUACCCCAAACCGACACAGGUGGUCAGGUAGAGAAUACCAAGGCGCUUGAGAGAACUCGGGUGAAGGAACUAGGCAAAAUGGUGCCGUAACUUCGGGAGAAGGCACGCUGAUAUGUAGGUGAAGUCCCUCGCGGAUGGAGCUGAAAUCAGUCGAAGAUACCAGCUGGCUGCAACUGUUUAUUAAAAACACAGCACUGUGCAAACACGAAAGUGGACGUAUACGGUGUGACGCCUGCCCGGUGCCGGAAGGUUAAUUGAUGGGGUUAGCGCAAGCGAAGCUCUUGAUCGAAGCCCCGGUAAACGGCGGCCGUAACUAUAACGGUCCUAAGGUAGCGAAAUUCCUUGUCGGGUAAGUUCCGACCUGCACGAAUGGCGUAAUGAUGGCCAGGCUGUCUCCACCCGAGACUCAGUGAAAUUGAACUCGCUGUGAAGAUGCAGUGUACCCGCGGCAAGACGGAAAGACCCCGUGAACCUUUACUAUAGCUUGACACUGAACAUUGAGCCUUGAUGUGUAGGAUAGGUGGGAGGCUUUGAAGUGUGGACGCCAGUCUGCAUGGAGCCGACCUUGAAAUACCACCCUUUAAUGUUUGAUGUUCUAACGUGGACCCGUAAUCCGGGUUGCGGACAGUGUCUGGUGGGUAGUUUGACUGGGGCGGUCUCCUCCUAAAGAGUAACGGAGGAGCACGAAGGUUGGCUAAUCCUGGUCGGACAUCAGGAGGUUAGUGCAAUGGCAUAAGCCAGCUUGACUGCGAGCGUGACGGCGCGAGCAGGUGCGAAAGCAGGUCAUAGUGAUCCGGUGGUUCUGAAUGGAAGGGCCAUCGCUCAACGGAUAAAAGGUACUCCGGGGAUAACAGGCUGAUACCGCCCAAGAGUUCAUAUCGACGGCGGUGUUUGGCACCUCGAUGUCGGCUCAUCACAUCCUGGGGCUGAAGUAGGUCCCAAGGGUAUGGCUGUUCGCCAUUUAAAGUGGUACGCGAGCUGGGUUUAGAACGUCGUGAGACAGUUCGGUCCCUAUCUGCCGUGGGCGCUGGAGAAUUGAGGGGGGCUGCUCCUAGUACGAGAGGACCGGAGUGGACGCAUCACUGGUGUUCGGGUUGUCAUGCCAAUGGCACUGCCCGGUAGCUAAAUGCGGAAGAGAUAAGUGCUGAAAGCAUCUAAGCACGAAACUUGCCCCGAGAUGAGUUCUCCCUGACUCCUUGAGAGUCCUGAAGGAACGUUGAAGACGACGACGUUGAUAGGCCGGGUGUGUAAGCGCAGCGAUGCGUUGAGCUAACCGGUACUAAUGAACCGUGAGGCUUAACCUU
RNAcentral lists this ribosomal RNA (2902 nucleotides) under Escherichia coli. RNAcentral's name for it is "bacterial LSU rRNA". It matches the Rfam family "Bacterial large subunit ribosomal RNA". Lineage: Bacteria; Pseudomonadati; Pseudomonadota; Gammaproteobacteria; Enterobacterales; Enterobacteriaceae. The record is from RNAcentral.